Molecule: long non-coding RNA, 265 nt
Filed under: Elaeis guineensis (African oil palm)
Lineage: Eukaryota; Viridiplantae; Streptophyta; Magnoliopsida; Arecales; Arecaceae
Description: long non-coding RNA (EGUI_LNC054247)
Source: RNAcentral
CACCAUAGCUGAGUCACCAGCUGAAUUCAAAGCUCGAUUCUUCUAUCUAAAAAUCUCAUUCUGAAGAAGUAUAGAAGUAAUCACAUCCAUCUUAAUGAUGCUCUUUUCCACAAGAAGAGCAAUCAUCAAACACUCAAAAGAAAGGAGAAAUGAUGAAAGCAAGACCAACGCCCUUGUCUUCUUCUCAACCUUCUCACUAAUGCUGAGGAGAUCAGUAAGGAUCUUCUGAAAGUUGCUGAGAUGCUCCUGUAUACUCUGUCCCUCA